This 506-nucleotide ribosomal RNA is filed under the name uncultured bacterium. Its description in RNAcentral is "partial 16S ribosomal RNA". It matches the Rfam family "Bacterial small subunit ribosomal RNA", at positions 30 to 523 of the family's 1533-position model. The record is from RNAcentral.
AUUGAACGCUGGCGGCAGGCCUAACACAUGCAAGUCGAACGGUAACAGGAAACAGCUUGCUGUUUCGCUGACGAGUGGCGGACGGGUGAGUAAUGUCUGGGAAACUGCCUGAUGGAGGGGGAUAACUACUGGAAACGGUAGCUAAUACCGCAUAACGUCGCAAGACCAAAGAGGGGGACCUUCGGGCCUCUUGCCAUCGGAUGUGCCCAGAUGGGAUUAGCUAGUAGGUGGGGUAACGGCUCACCUAGGCGACGAUCCCUAGCUGGUCUGAGAGGAUGACCAGCCGAACUGGAACUGAGGCACGGUCCAGACUCCUACGGGAGGCAGCGGUGGGGAAUAUUGCACAAUGGGCGCAAGCCUGAUGCAGCCAUGCCGCGUGUAUGAAGAAGGCCUUCGGGUUGUAAAGUACUUUCAGCGGGGAGGAAGGGAGUAAAGUCAAUACCUUUGCUCAUUGACGUUACCCGCAGAAGAAGCACCGGCUAACUCCGUGCCAGCCGCCGCCGUAA